Molecule: ribosomal RNA, 511 nt
Filed under: uncultured bacterium
Lineage: Bacteria
Description: partial 16S ribosomal RNA
Rfam family: Bacterial small subunit ribosomal RNA
Source: RNAcentral
GACGAACGCUGGCGGCGUGCCUAACACAUGCAAGUCGAGCGGAAGUUGGAGAGCUUGCUCUUCAACUUUAGCGGCGGACGGGUGAGUAACACGUGGGCAACCUGCCCUGCAGAUCGGGAUAACUCCGGGAAACCGGUGCUAAUACCGAAUAGUUUUCGCCACCUCCUGGUGGCGUACGGAAAGACGGUUUCGGCUGUCACUGCAGGAUGGGCCCGCGGCGCAUUAGCUAGUUGGUGGGGUAACGGCCCACCAAGGCGACGAUGCGUAGCCGACCGGAGAGGGUGAUCGGCCACACUGGGACUGAGACACGGCCCAGACUCCUACGGGAGGCAGCAGUAGGGAAUCUUCCGCAAUGGACGAAAGUCUGACGGAGCAACGCCGCGUGCGUGACGAAGGUUUUCGGAUCGUAAAACUCUGUUGUGAGGGAAGAACAAGUACCACUUAACUACUGGUACCUUGACGGUACCUCACCAGAAAGCCACGGCUAACUACGUGCCAGCCGCCGCAGUAA